AGAGGACGUUGGCGUUGGCUAUAGAGAAGUCGUCGUCGCAGAUGGUUCCCCACUCUCCCUUGUAGAAGAGCUCUAUCCGGCCCUCGUUGUGUUUGCGGGGGUAUCCGGCCAGGCGGACCUUCAGCUGCUGCGGGGUCCCGGACGGGGUCGGGGCCACGCUGGCCCUGCUGGGCACUGUGGUCUGGGUUAAACAACAAGGAAACCACAACCCAAACAGAAGGCUGACCGCUAACUGCCGCGUGUGCCUCGACUUCUCCAUCUUUUCAACUGCAAACAAAUGAAGAGAGGGAAGAAAAAAACACAAGGGUAUGGACAGAUGUUUGACUCCAGGAAAAUCUGUCUGGAGGCUGAACACAAGCGUUCAGUGGGAAGAAUCUCACACAUCUGUUCCCCUUUCCGUCUUAACCGAAACCAAAGCCGGUCCAUGGCUGUGAACCACUGGAGUCACCAGAGUCCAGCAGGCAGAGCUCCAUGCUUCCACGUGCAGCGCUGCAUAUUUACAGCUCCUCCCGUAAUGAUUUCCAUCCCUCCUCACAGCGAGCUGGGGGCCUCAGGGACAUUCGAUGGAGAAUUUUAAACGCUAUCGAAAAGUCGGCAGAGCAGCGAACCACCAGUUGCUCCGUGUGGCGACUCUUGUCGUUAAUUUGCCAGCUGUGCAGCUUUCACCCGAGGAGAAGAAGAAGGAG
Molecule: long non-coding RNA, 686 nt
Organism: Gambusia affinis (western mosquitofish)
Lineage: Eukaryota; Metazoa; Chordata; Actinopteri; Cyprinodontiformes; Poeciliidae
Exons: 3
Source: RefSeq, a predicted model, not a curated record